UUAAGUUAUUAAGGGCGCACGGUGGAUGCCUUGGCACUAGAAGCCGAUGAAGGACGUUACUAACGACGAUAUGCUUUGGGUAGCUGUAAGUAAGCGUUGAUCCAGAGAUUUCCGAAUGGGGGAACCCAGCACAAGUUAUGUUGUGUUAUCGACAAGUGAAUUCAUAGCUUGUCAGAAGGCAGACCCGGAGAACUGAAACAUCUUAGUACCCGGAGGAAGAGAAAGAAAAUUCGAUUCCCUGAGUAGCGGCGAGCGAAACGGGAAGAGCCCAAACCAAUAAGCUUGCUUAUUGGGGUUGUAGGACACUCUAUACGGAGUUACAAAGGAAUAUAUUAAACGAAUCAUCUGGAAAGUUGAAUCAAAGAAGGUAAUAAUCCUGUAGUUGAAAAUAUAUUCUCUCUUGAGUGGAUCCUGAGUACGACGGAGCACGUGAAAUUCCGUCGGAAUCUGGGAGGACCAUCUCCUAAGGCUAAAUACUCUCUAGUGACCGAUAGUGAACCAGUACCGUGAGGGAAAGGUGAAAAGUACCCCGGAAGGGGAGUGAAAGAGAACUUGAAACCGUGUGCUUACAAGUAGUCAGAGCCCGUUAAUGGGUGAUGGCGUGCCUUUUGUAGAAUGAACCGGCGAGUUACGAUCUGAUGCAAGGUUAAGCAGAAAAUGUGGAGCCGUAGCGAAAGCGAGUCUGAAUAGGGCGUAUAGUAUUUGGUCGUAGACCCGAAACCAGGUGAUCUACCCAUGGUCAGGUUGAAGUUCAGGUAACACUGAAUGGAGGACCGAACCGACUUACGUUGAAAAGUGAGCGGAUGAACUGUGGGUAGCGGAGAAAUUCCAAUCGAACUUGGAGAUAGCUGGUUCUCUCCGAAAUAGCUUUAGGGCUAGCCUCAAGUGAUGAUUAUUGGAGGUAGAGCACUGUUUGGACGAGGGGCCCCUCUCGGGUUACCGAAUUCAGACAAACUCCGAAUGCCAAUUAAUUUAACUUGGGAGUCAGAACAUGGGUGAUAAGGUCCGUGUUCGAAAGGGAAACAGCCCAGACCACCAGCUAAGGUCCCAAAAUAUAUGUUAAGUGGAAAAGGAUGUGGCGUUGCCCAGACAACUAGGAUGUUGGCUUAGAAGCAGCCAUCAUUUAAAGAGUGCGUAAUAGCUCACUAGUCGAGUGACACUGCGCCGAAAAUGUACCGGGGCUAAACAUAUUACCGAAGCUGUGGAUUGUCCUUUGGACAAUGGUAGGAGAGCGUUCUAAGGGCGUUGAAGCAUGAUCGCAAGGACAUGUGGAGCGCUUAGAAGUGAGAAUGCCGGUGUGAGUAGCGAAAGACGGGUGAGAAUCCCGUCCACCGAUUGACUAAGGUUUCCAGAGGAAGGCUCGUCCGCUCUGGGUUAGUCGGGUCCUAAGCUGAGGCCGACAGGCGUAGGCGAUGGAUAACAGGUUGAUAUUCCUGUACCACCUAUAAUCGUUUUAAUCGAUGGGGGGACGCAGUAGGAUAGGCGAAGCGUACGAUUGGAUUGUACGUCUAAGCAGUGAGAUUGAGUGUUAGGCAAAUCCGGCACUCUUAAGAUUGAGCUGUGAUGGGGAGAGGAAAUUGUUUCCUCGAGUCGUUGAUUUCACACUGCCGAGAAAAGCCUCUAGAUAGAGAUUAGGUGCCCGUACCGCAAACCGACACAGGUAGUCAAGAUGAGAAUUCUAAGGUGAGCGAGCGAACUCUCGUUAAGGAACUCGGCAAAAUGACCCCGUAACUUCGGGAGAAGGGGUGCUCUUUAGGGUGCAAGCCCAGAAGAGCCGCAGUGAAUAGGCCCAAGCGACUGUUUAUCAAAAACACAGGUCUCUGCUAAACCGUAAGGUGAUGUAUAGGGGCUGACGCCUGCCCGGUGCUGGAAGGUUAAGAGGAGUGGUUAGCUUCUGCGAAGCUACGAAUCGAAGCCCCAGUAAACGGCGGCCGUAACUAUAACGGUCCUAAGGUAGCGAAAUUCCUUGUCGGGUAAGUUCCG
RNAcentral lists this ribosomal RNA (1983 nucleotides) under human gut metagenome. Its description in RNAcentral is "bacterial LSU rRNA". It matches the Rfam family "Bacterial large subunit ribosomal RNA", at positions 3 to 1985 of the family's 2925-position model. The record is from RNAcentral.